Molecule: ribosomal RNA, 631 nt
Filed under: Clostridioides difficile
Lineage: Bacteria; Bacillati; Bacillota; Clostridia; Peptostreptococcales; Peptostreptococcaceae
Description: bacterial SSU rRNA
Rfam family: Bacterial small subunit ribosomal RNA
Source: RNAcentral
CAGGAUGGACCCGCGUCUGAUUAGCUAGUUGGUAAGGUAACGGCUUACCAAGGCGACGAUCAGUAGCCGACCUGAGAGGGUGAUCGGCCACAUUGGAACUGAGACACGGUCCAAACUCCUACGGGAGGCAGCAGUGGGGAAUAUUGCACAAUGGGCGAAAGCCUGAUGCAGCAACGCCGCGUGAGUGAUGAAGGCCUUCGGGUCGUAAAACUCUGUCCUCAAGGAAGAUAAUGACGGUACUUGAGGAGGAAGCCCCGGCUAACUACGUGCCAGCAGCCGCGGUAAUACGUAGGGGGCUAGCGUUAUCCGGAUUUACUGGGCGUAAAGGGUGCGUAGGCGGUCUUUCAAGUCAGGAGUGAAAGGCUACGGCUCAACCGUAGUAAGCUCUUGAAACUGGGAGACUUGAGUGCAGGAGAGGAGAGUGGAAUUCCUAGUGUAGCGGUGAAAUGCGUAGAUAUUAGGAGGAACACCAGUUGCGAAGGCGGCUCUCUGGACUGUAACUGACGCUGAGGCACGAAAGCGUGGGGAGCAAACAGGAUUAGAUACCCUGGUAGUCCACGCUGUAAACGAUGAGUACUAGGUGUCGGGGGUUACCCCCUUCGGUGCCGCAGCUAACGCAUUAAGUACUCCG